GGCGUCUAGUAACGGUGACUGCCAGCAGAUGUCACCAUCCCACAAGACAUGAAAUGCCAGGACCCACUGGAUCCUUGUACAUUUCUGAUUCUACUUGGCACACCUGGAAGGAUCAGCUAUCAUAUGUGAAAAUCAGCAUAUGAGAGGGAAUGGCUGGUGGAGAGGAAAGGUUUGCACAGAACCCCUGAGGGAGAGGAGAGGAACAGUGACUAUCCAAUGCCUGUGACCCUGAGUUGUGCCCAAGGGAGAGCCCCAGUGAGGGACACGUGGGCACAGAGCCACCUGCAGCCAAGAGCAGCCUCAGUGAGCAUCCUCGUGGAACUACAGCCAAUGACUCUCUUGAAUUAAUGGGCCGGGUGGGCUGUGUCCUGGUGGUCUUGACACGUUGGUGAGGAAGCACAGCUUCGUUCUAGGCUAGCUGCCCCAGGACAUCUGACUCAUUCAGAUUGGCAAGCCAAUGGCGGUGACACAAUGUUCAAUCUCCUGAAUCCAUGAGAUGAGGCCCAGUGCAGGCAAAGCUUUCACACUUUGGUGCCAACCCCUCCAGGACUUCCAUCUCUGCUCCAAGAAAUUUGACAUUUUCAAAAAUUCAGAAAUCAAUUGGAGUGGAGCCAGCUCUGUCAGCGGAUUAUUAACGGCCCUGGAGCUGACUGAUCGCGUUUGCACAGCCUUUCAAUAAACAGCUUCAACAACAACUCAGAGGAAAAGAAAGCACACACCCCAUCCAAUCGGGACAGACUUGAAGUAUCGAUUCCCCCACCUCCUUCCCACCCCCGGCCUUCAGAGCAAAUCGAGAGGAUUACACCAUGGUAGUUGAUGAUUGCCAGACCCCCAUGUCACCAGGGCCCAACUGUGUUUUGCUGGAAUAGCGCGUUGUCUGCUUUAGCUGAAAUGACUCUUCCAAGAUUUCCUGAGGCCAGGGCGACAAACAGCUGCAUCCUGGGGAGGGGCAGCAACGAAAGGAACGUCUGGCCGGGCCAGGGACUCCAGGGGGCUCUUCCUGACGCUCACUUCUCGGCUGCCUGGGAAAGUGCUGCCCUAAACCUCCACAGGAGCAGCCGGUCCUCCCAGAGCGCUGGAAACAGAAGGCAACUGGCCGCAGAGCCGGCAGCCUCUCUAGCCGGAGGGGCUGCGGUCUUUAGUGAGCUGCUUUCUGUUCCUACUCUAUCCUGUUUGUGGGACAGGCAGGGAGAACCACGGGAGAUAUUUCAGAGGACCCGGUCUCAUCAGUCUACACCCCUGAGUGUGCUCUCUGCUGACGUAAAGACAUCGUUGGUCCUCACCCACUGUGACAGAAGCCAGGACUGCUUGGUGACACACAGAUGUGGAUUUUCUUCUAUCUCCUAGUUGUUUCAAAAUUUGAUAUCUCAACACAAAUUAACUGGCUAAUUGUACAACACCCUCCCCCUGCC
RNAcentral lists this long non-coding RNA (1412 nucleotides) under Equus caballus (horse). RNAcentral describes it as "lncRNA (ENSECAG00000048010.1)". The record is from RNAcentral. Lineage: Eukaryota; Metazoa; Chordata; Mammalia; Perissodactyla; Equidae.